GAUGAACGCUGGCGGCGUGCCUAAUACAUGCAAGUCGAGCGAACAGACGAGGAGCUUGCUCCUCUGACGUUAGCGGCGGACGGGUGAGUAACACGUGGAUAACCUACCUAUAAGACUGGGAUAACUUCGGGAAACCGGAGCUAAUACCGGAUAAUAUAUUGAACCGCAUGGUUCAAUAGUGAAAGACGGUUUUGCUGUCACUUAUAGAUGGAUCCGCGCCGCAUUAGCUAGUUGGUAAGGUAACGGCUUACCAAGGCAACGAUGCGUAGCCGACCUGAGAGGGUGAUCGGCCACACUGGAACUGAGACACGGUACAGACUCCUACGGGAGGCAGCAGUAGGGAAUCUUCCGCAAUGGGCGAAAGCGUGACGGAGCAACGCCGCGUGAGUGAUGAAGGUCUUCGGAUCGUAAAGCUCUGUUAUUAGGGAAGAACAAAUGUGUAAGUAACUAUGCACGUCUUGACGGUACCUAAUCAGAAAGCCACGGCUAACUACGUG
RNAcentral lists this ribosomal RNA (497 nucleotides) under uncultured bacterium. RNAcentral describes it as "partial 16S ribosomal RNA". It matches the Rfam family "Bacterial small subunit ribosomal RNA", at positions 28 to 507 of the family's 1533-position model. The record is from RNAcentral.